Vigna umbellata (rice bean) is the source of this 569-nucleotide non-coding RNA. Lineage: Eukaryota; Viridiplantae; Streptophyta; Magnoliopsida; Fabales; Fabaceae. The record is from RefSeq and is a predicted model, not a curated record.
AAAGUUGGACAUGAGCACAGGACAUGGUAUCAUUUACGAAGAAACAAGCAGAUCUUUUCUUCCCCCCUGAUUUUGUUGAUGAUUUUCCAGUUUCCAUGUAGAUAUCUCAAAAAUACAAUUUGAUUUAUGUGAUUACGAAACUUGGGCUACUAUUUGUGUAUGAUUUGAAGACAGUUAUAUCUGUGGGAGGCCUUUAUGCCAUCAACAGGAGAGGCCAGGUCUUAUUGGUUACUGUUAAUGAACAAACCAUUGUGAAUUUUGUCAGUGGUCAAUUAAACAAUUUGGAGCUAGCAGUUAGUCUUGCCAAAAGAGGAAAUCUACUUGGUGCUGAGAAACUGGAUCAAAUCAAGGUAGCAAUAAUUUGACUUUGAGAGGGUGGCCACUCACUAUAUUUGAUAACACAUUUCCAAUGGAGCAACAUGUCAUAAAGGAUGUUCGAGAACAGUGGACUGAAUUUUAUUUAACCAUUUGUAAAUGAUUAAAUGUUUCAAUAUUACAUUUUGAAUUUAGGAACUAUUUUAUGUGUAACUAUAUUAAGUAACUAUGUUAGGUAAAUAUAUUUAGGAACU